CCUACGGGAGGCAGCAGUGAGGAAUAUUGGUCAAUGGCCGGAAGGCUGAACCAGCCAAGCCGCGUGAAGGACGAAGGUGCCAAGCAUUGUAAACUUCUUUUGUCAAGGGACAAAAUCAGGCUCGAGAGCCUGACCGAGGGUACUUGAAGAAAAAGCAUCGGCUAACCCCGUGCCAGCAGCCGCGGUAAUACGGAGGAUGCGAGCGUUAUCCGGAUUUAUUGGGUUUAAAGGGUGCGUAGGCGGACUGUUAAGUCAGCGGUAAAAGCCCGGGGCUCAACCCCGGCGAGCCGUUGAAACUGGGGGUCUUGAGAUGUCGAGAGGUAUGCGGAAUGCGGAGUGUAGCGGUGAAAUGCUUAGAUAUUGCGCAGAACUCCGAUUGCGAAGGCAGCAUACCGGCGGCGAUCUGACGCUGAGGCACGAAAGCGUGGGUAUCGAACAGGAUUAGAUACCCCGGUAGUC
This 459-nucleotide ribosomal RNA is filed under the name uncultured bacterium. RNAcentral's name for it is "partial 16S ribosomal RNA". It matches the Rfam family "Bacterial small subunit ribosomal RNA", at positions 338 to 795 of the family's 1533-position model. The record is from RNAcentral.